ACGGAGUGUGAGUACGAAGUGACUGAUUAACUCCCCCUGGGGGGGCAGGGGCAGGGGCAGUCACAGAAGUUUUCACAAGAGAGAGAGUGACGCUGUCGAAGUAAGUCUUCAAGGAACUGCAGGGUUGUGCCAGGUAGGAAGGGGGAAAGGGCAUUCAGGAACAACCUGUGGCUAAGGGUGACUGAGACGGAAGAUUCGUGAGUCGAUGAGGCCACAGAGGGACUGGGGGCAGACGGUGAGGGCCGGGCACAAGCACCAGCUGGAAACCUAACAGCAGCCCGCUCAGGGCCAGCUCUGGAAGUGAGUGGCCACGUCCACGUCCACGGCAGGAGAGCAGGUGGGCCGGGGCUGGGAGAUCCUGCCAGAUGGGGAAGGACUCCGUGGAGGCCACGGGGCCAGGUGCCACGAGGAACGGAAGAGGUUCCACAAGAAGACAAAACUCGGGAAGAGUCCAUGCAGCCGUAGUCCACUGUCUCUAGGGCAUCACACGAGAAAAGAGAGCGGUAAUGACAUAUGCCGAGGACAGGGCGGCUACCGUGCAGGCGACCGCAGACAUGCUGCCCAGAGCUUCUGGAUCCCCCGUCCUACGACCUCUGGCCUCUAAACCCGCCGCCUGAGGACAGGAGCUCUUGAGCUGCACAGGGCAGCCCGGGGAAGCUUCAACGAAAGGGCCUGGCUAAGGCUUGGCAGGGACACUGCGAGGCCCAGGCUGGCACGAGAAAAGGUUUCUGUCCCAGGAUUUUAUAGACUGUUACCAUCGGACCUUCUCACGAUUUUACUCAGCAUCACCAGAACACUUCAAAUGGAGGAAAAAAGAAUACAUGGAAAUAAAAUGCUGUGCAUCUGGGAGAAGAUAAAGGACAGAGGCGAAAUGUAACGGAUGUUGUAAGUACAGAAAAGAGCCUUUGGUUUAAAAAAAAAAAAAAAAAAGAAUGGUCUCCGCAAAUUUAUGAAUGAUGCUCUGAAGUUUAAAGUUUAAAAAAAAAAAAAAAAAAAAAAGACCCAAGAGACCAGAAUAGCUCUAACGGAGUCUGAAGCAAAGACAAUGUGGAAGAAGGGAAAGACAGUAAAAAUAGGAAAGGUAAAUUUCUGACUAUAGCCCACAUUAAUUUGGUAAAAUAACUUUUAAUGGAUGUUUGGUCAUUAAAAAAAAAAAAUCCUGGCUGGAGGGGAUCCUACUACCUAUGGUUAAAAUAAGAAAAGUGACAAAAUAUGUCAGUUAUUAUUAACAAAGAAUUUCAAGGCUGGGCUGCCUAAAUGAAGUGCCAAAAUUAUAUGCUCUCCAGAGACCUCUGCAUGGUCUUCUGUUUGAUGAAUAUUUUUAUUCCUUACAUCGCUCUUCAGAAAGACUACUGUUGGCUAUCACCAGUUCUUUUUGGUAGACUCAAAUUUCACUCUGUAUUUACAAGUCCUGGAGACAUGCACUGAAAUAAGCCUCAUGCGAAAGAAGAUUAAAAAUAAGACACAGCGCUUAAUACUCUCAAGAUAACCACGGUUGACUGAAAAGGACGAAACAAAUCCCUAAGACGGGGCAGAAGGGAGGGACCCGGCAGGAGAUGGGAGCUGAGCUGGGCCUUGAGGAGCAGGCAGGAUGGUGAGAGGCAAAAAAAGCUAAGACGAAGUGACAACCCCAACCACCACACAAUUAAAAGCAAGCAAGGAAGGAGUUCCUACCCCGUCCAACUGUCAAAUACCAGGAACAGAUAACACUUGGGGAGGAGUGUAGACUGGUACGUCCGUAAAAUACAAUUUAGUGGUACGGAUAUCAAGGCUUUUAAAUGUUCACGUUCUUUGAUUCAACAGUUCAAGUUACAUGCACAUCUCAAAGAAAAAUCAUGGGAAAAAAAUCAUGGUAUUUUG
Long non-coding RNA from Mustela lutreola (European mink), 1860 nucleotides. RefSeq lists it as uncharacterized. The transcript has 2 exons. NCBI's taxonomy places the organism in Eukaryota, Metazoa, Chordata, Mammalia, Carnivora, Mustelidae. The record is from RefSeq and is a predicted model, not a curated record.